Molecule: long non-coding RNA, 4374 nt
Organism: Scophthalmus maximus (turbot)
Lineage: Eukaryota; Metazoa; Chordata; Actinopteri; Pleuronectiformes; Scophthalmidae
Source: Ensembl
AUGAAUGAAGAAAAAAGAAGCAACGAGAGCAGCGGCAACCCAGGUAACAUGGGAAACCCAGCAAAACCAGAUGAUAACAACAAGCCCAAAAAGCCAAGUAAAAUUGACAAACCCACCAGUCAGGAAAGUAACGAGAGCCACGAAAACCCAGGUAACAAGGGAAACCCCACCAAUCCAGAUGAUAACAACCAGCCCAAAAAGCCAAGGACAAAUGACAAACCCACCAGUCAGGAAAGCAACGAGAGCAGCGGCAACCCAGGUAACAAGGGAAACCCAACAAAACCAGAUGAUAACAACCAGCCCAAAAAGCCAUGUAAAAAUGACAAACCCACCAGUCAGGAAAGCAACGAGAGCCAAGAAAACCCAGGUAACAAGGGAGACUCCACCAAACCAGAUGAUAACAACCAGCCCAAAAAACCAAGUAAAAAUGACAAACCCAACAGUCAGGAAAGCAACGAGAGCCAAGAAAACCCAGGUAACAAGGGAGACUCCACCAAACCAGAUGAUAACAACCAGCCCAAAAAACCAAGUCAAAAUGACAAACCUACCAGUCAGGAAAGCAACGAGAGCCAAGAAAACCCAGGUAACAAGGGAAAACCCGCCAAAAAGGAUGAUAACAACAAACCCCAAAAACCAAGUCAAAAUGACAAACCCAACAGUCAGGAAAGCAACGAGAGCCACGAAAACCCAGGUAACAAGGGAGACUCCACCAAACCAGAUGAUAACAACCAGCCCAAAAAAACAGGUCAAAAUGACAAACCCACCAGUCAGGAAAGCAACGAGAGCCAAGAAAACCAAGGUAACAAUGGAGACUCCACCAAACCAGAUGAUAACAACAAACCCCAAAAACCGAGUAAAAAUAACCAACCCACCAGUCAGGAAAGCAACGAGAGCCAAGAAAACCCAGGUAACAAUGGAGACUCCACCAAACCAGAUGAUAACAACAAACCCAAAAAACCGAGUAAAAAUGACAAACCCACCAGUCAGGAAAGCAACGAGAGCCAAGAAAACCCAGGUAACAAGGGAGACUCCACCAAACCAGAUGAUAACAACAAACCCCAAAAACCGAGUAAAAAUGACAAACCCACCAGUCAGGAAAGCAACGAGAGCCAAGAAAACCCAGGUAACAAUGGAGACUCCACCAAACCAGAUGAUAACAACAAACCCAAAAAAACGAGUAAAAAUGACAAACCCACCAGUCAGGAAAGCAACGAGAGCCAAGAAAACCCAGGUAAAAAUGGAGACUCCACCAAACCAGAUGAUAACAACAAACCCCAAAAACCAAGUCAAAAUGACAAACCCACCAGUCAGGAAAGCAACGAGAGCCAAGAAAACCCAGGUAACAAGGGAGACUCCACCAAACCAGAUGAUAACAACCAGCCCAAAAAACCAAGUCAAAAUGACAAAUCCACCAGUCAGGAAAGCAACGAGAGCCAAGAAAACCCAGGUAAAAAUGGAGACUCCACCAAACCAGAUGAUAACAACAAAUCCCAAAAACCAAGUCACAAUGACAAACCCACCAGUCAGGAAAGCAACGAGAGCCAAGAAAACCCAGGUAACAAGGGAGACUCCACCAAACCAGAUGAUAACCAGCCGAAAAAACCAAGUCAAAAUGACAAACCCACCAGUCAGGAAAGCAACGAGAGCCAUGAAAACCCAGAUACAAACCCACCAAUCCAGAUCACUACAACAGAACCACAAACACAGAUAACAGUGACAAACCCACCGAUCUGGGAAACGACCACAACCCUGGUAUCUCAGGUAACAAAGAAAAACCCACCAAACCCAAUCACAACCACAGAUCCACAAACACAGGAAACAGUGACAUACCCACCAAUCCCGGAAACGACCACAACCCUGGUAUCUCAGGUAACAAAGAAAAACCCACCAAACCCAAUCACAACCACAGAUCCACAAACACAGGAAACAGUGACAUACCCACCAAUCCCGGAAACGACCACAACCCUGGUAUCUCAGGUAACAAAGAAAAACCCACCAAACCCAAUCACAACAACACAACCACAAACACAGGAAACAGAGACAAACCCACCAAUCCAGAUCACAACCACAGAACCACAAACACAGGAAACAGAGACAAACCCACCAAUCCAGAUCACAACCACAGAACCACAAACACAGGAAACAGAGACAAACCCACCAAUCCAGAUCACAACCACAGAACCACAAACACAGGAAACAGAGACAAACCUACCAAUCCAGAUCACAACAACACAACCACAAACACAGGAAACAGAGACAAACCCACCAAUCCAGAUCACAACCACAGAACCACAAACACAGGAAACAGAGACAAACCCACCAAUCCAGAUCACAACAACACAACCACAAACACAGGAAACAGAGACAAACCCACCAAUCCAGAUCACAACCACAGAACCACAAACACAGGAAACAGAGACAAACCCACCAAUCCAGAUCACAACCACAGAACCACAAACACAGGAAACAGAGACAAACCCACCAAUCCAGAUGAUCACAACCACAGAACCACAAACACAGGAAACAGAGACAAACCCACCAACCCAGAUCACAACAACACAACCACAAACACAGGAAACAGAGACAAACCCACCAAUCCAGAUCACAACAACACAACCACAAACACAGGAAACAGAGACAAACCCACCAAUCCAGAUCACAACCACAGAACCACAAACACAGGAAACAGAGACAAACCCACCAAUCCAGAUCACAACAACACAACCACAAACACAGGAAACAGAGACAAACCCACCAAUCCAGAUCACAACAACACAACCACAAACACAGGAAACAGAGACAAACCCACCAAACCAGAUCACAACAACACAACCACAAACACAGGAAACAGAGACAAACCCACCAAUCCCGGAAACGACCACAACCCUGGUAUCUCAGGUAACAACAAAAAAAAAGCCAAGUACAAAUGACAAACCCACCAGUCAGGAAAGCAACGAGAGCCACGGCAAGCCAGAUAACAAUGGAGACUCCACCAAACCACAUGAUAACAACAAACCCGAAAAGCCAUGUCAAAAUGACCAACCCACCAGUCAGGAAAGCAACGAGAGCCAAGAAAACCCAGGGAACAAGGGAAACCCAACCAAACCACAUGAUAACAACAAACCGGGAAAGAACCAGAAGCCCUGUGACAAUCAUAACCCCGGCAACUCAACACCAACAAAACCACAAACAGUGACAAACCCACCAAUCCGGAAUACCACCACAACCCUGGUAUCCCAGGUAACAAAGAAAAACCCACCAAACCAGAUCACAACAACAGAGCCACAAACACAGGAAACAGAGACAAACCCACCAAUCCAGAUCACAACCACAGAACCACAAACACAGGAAACAGAGACAAACCCACCAAUCCAGAUCACAACCACAGAACCACAAACACAGGAAACAGAGACAAACCCACCAAUCCAGAUCACAACCACAGAACCACAAACACAGGAAACAGAGACAAACCUACCAAUCCAGAUCACAACAACACAACCACAAACACAGGAAACAGAGACAAACCCACCAAUCCAGAUCACAACCACAGAACCACAAACACAGGAAACAGAGACAAACCCACCAAUCCAGAUCACAACAACACAACCACAAACACAGGAAACAGAGACAAACCCACCAAUCCAGAUCACAACCACAGAACCACAAACACAGGAAACAGAGACAAACCCACCAAUCCAGAUGAUCACAACCACAGAACCACAAACACAGGAAACAGAGACAAACCCACCAACCCAGAUCACAACAACACAACCACAAACACAGGAAACAGAGACAAACCCACCAAUCCAGAUCACAACCACAGAACCACAAACACAGGAAACAGAGACAAACCCACCAAUCCAGAUCACAACAACACAACCACAAACACAGAUAACAGUAACAAACCCACCAAUCCAGAUCACAACAACACAACCACAAACACAGGAAACAGAGACAAACCCACCAAUCCAGAUCACAACAACACAACCACAAACACAGGAAACAGAGACAAACCCACCAAUCCAGAUCACAACAACACAACCACAAACACAGGAAACAGAGACAAACCCACCAAACCAGAUCACAACAACACGACCACAAAAACAGGAAACAGAGACAAACCCACCAAUCCAGAUCACAACAACACAACCACAAACACAGGAAACAGAGACAAACCCACCAAACCAGAUCACAACAACACAACCACAAACACAGGAAACAGAGACAAACCCACCAAUCCCGGAAACGACCACAACCCUGGUAUCUCAGGUAACAACAAAAAAAAAGCCAAGUACAAAUGACAAACCCACCAGUCAGGAAAGCAACGAGAGCCACGGCAACCCAGAUAACAAUGGAGACUCCACCAAACCAUGA